AGCGAACGCUGGCGGCAGGCUUAACACAUGCAAGUCGAACGGGCGUAGCAAUACGUCAGUGGCAGACGGGUGAGUAACGCGUGGGAACGUACCUUUUGGUUCGGAACAACCCAGGGAAACUUGGGCUAAUACCGGAUAAGCCCUUACGGGGAAAGAUUUAUCGCCGAAAGAUCGGCCCGCGUCUGAUUAGCUAGUUGGUGUGGUAACGGCGCACCAAGGCGACGAUCAGUAGCUGGUCUGAGAGGAUGAUCAGCCACAUUGGGACUGAGACACGGCCCAAACUCCUACGGGAGGCAGCAGUGGGGAAUAUUGGACAAUGGGCGCAAGCCUGAUCCAGCCAUGCCGCGUGAGUGAUGAAGGCCCUAGGGUUGUAAAGCUCUUUUGUGCGGGAAGAUAAUGACGGUACCGCAAGAAUAAGCCCCGGCUAACUUCGUGCCAGCAGCCGCGGUAAG
This 452-nucleotide ribosomal RNA is filed under the name uncultured bacterium. RNAcentral's name for it is "bacterial SSU rRNA". It matches the Rfam family "Bacterial small subunit ribosomal RNA", at positions 29 to 524 of the family's 1533-position model. The record is from RNAcentral.